UUAAUAAAAGCCAAAAAGAGGCAUAUCACUGUUAAUGAUAUCAUUGAAAUAUAUCUUCUUAUUAAA
RNAcentral lists this transfer RNA (66 nucleotides) under Upogebia bowerbankii. RNAcentral's name for it is "tRNA-Asn". The record is from RNAcentral. Lineage: Eukaryota; Metazoa; Arthropoda; Malacostraca; Decapoda; Upogebiidae.